RNAcentral lists this ribosomal RNA (73 nucleotides) under Gossypium arboreum. The record is from RNAcentral. Lineage: Eukaryota; Viridiplantae; Streptophyta; Magnoliopsida; Malvales; Malvaceae.
GGGUGUAAUCAUACCAGCACUAAUGCACCGGAUCCCAUCAGAACCUUGCAGUUAAGCGUGCUUGGGCGAGAGU